RNAcentral lists this unclassified non-coding RNA (183 nucleotides) under Borreliella garinii. RNAcentral's name for it is "partial 5S-23S ribosomal RNA intergenic spacer". The record is from RNAcentral. Lineage: Bacteria; Pseudomonadati; Spirochaetota; Spirochaetia; Spirochaetales; Borreliaceae.
UUUUUCUUUUAUACUUUAAACAUUGAUUUUAUUUUUUAUGUUUUUAGAUGUUUAUAUUAUUUGAAUGUUUUAUUCAAAUAAUAUAAAAAAUAAAAUAUAUAUAUUGACAUGGAUUAAACAAAGAUAUAUAUUAUUCUAUGUUGUAUAAACAAAUUGGCAAAAUAGAGAUGGAAGAUAAAAAUA